RNAcentral lists this ribosomal RNA (739 nucleotides) under Lactiplantibacillus plantarum. RNAcentral describes it as "bacterial LSU rRNA". It matches the Rfam family "Bacterial large subunit ribosomal RNA", at positions 2189 to 2925 of the family's 2925-position model. The record is from RNAcentral. Lineage: Bacteria; Bacillati; Bacillota; Bacilli; Lactobacillales; Lactobacillaceae.
UUGGUGGGAUACUACCCUCGCUGUAUGACCACUCUAACCCGCACCACUAAUCGUGGUGGGAGACAGUGUCAGGUGGGCAGUUUGACUGGGGCGGUCGCCUCCUAAAAAGUAACGGAGGCGCCCAAAGGUUCCCUCAGAAUGGUUGGAAAUCAUUCGCAGAGUGUAAAGGCACAAGGGAGCUUGACUGCGAGACAGACAGGUCGAGCAGGGACGAAAGUCGGGCUUAGUGAUCCGGUGGUACCGUAUGGAAGGGCCAUCGCUCAACGGAUAAAAGCUACCCUGGGGAUAACAGGCUUAUCUCCCCCAAGAGUCCACAUCGACGGGGAGGUUUGGCACCUCGAUGUCGGCUCAUCGCAUCCUGGGGCUGUAGUCGGUCCCAAGGGUUGGGCUGUUCGCCCAUUAAAGCGGUACGCGAGCUGGGUUCAGAACGUCGUGAGACAGUUCGGUCCCUAUCCGUCGCGGGCGUAGGAAAUUUGAGAGGACCUGUCCUUAGUACGAGAGGACCGGGAUGGACAUACCUCUGGUGUACCAGUUGUGCCGCCAGGCGCAUCGCUGGGUAGCUACGUAUGGAUGUGAUAAACGCUGAAAGCAUCUAAGUGUGAAACACACCUCGAGAUGAGAUUUCCCAUUCCUUUAUGGAAGUAAGACCCCUGAAAGAUGAUCAGGUAGAUAGGUUAGAAGUGGCAGUGCGGUGACGCAUGAAGCGGACUAAUACUAAUCGGUCGAGGACUUAACCAAG